This 324-nucleotide long non-coding RNA is filed under the name Mytilus galloprovincialis (Mediterranean mussel). The record is from RNAcentral. Lineage: Eukaryota; Metazoa; Mollusca; Bivalvia; Mytilida; Mytilidae.
UACGAACCCCGAAAAAUUGGGGUUGCAUAGUAAACACGGCAAAGUGUAACAAACCCCUGUGAUGCAUGUAAACCCUUUAAUCAGUCCAAGAACGGAAGCAAGACAACUCGACCUGCCGACAAAUCUCCCCACUUUUUCACCAACUCGCCCCACUUUUAACAGUUUAAAAAAAUCCCCCCACUAAAUGAAAAGUGUUUAAUCCUGUCAAAUAUACUCCUGCCAAAUCCCCACUUGUGAAAAUGAGUAAAAUCCAGAUUAAUAUUAAAAAAAAGUCAAAAGAACACUGUUCAUGCUGUUAAACCCUGUUAAAUGGGUAACAAUGUU